This 113-nucleotide ribosomal RNA is filed under the name Serratia entomophila. Lineage: Bacteria; Pseudomonadati; Pseudomonadota; Gammaproteobacteria; Enterobacterales; Yersiniaceae. The record is from RNAcentral.
GCGGCAAUAGCGCGGUGGUCCCACCUGACCCCAUGCCGAACUCAGAAGUGAAACGCCGUAGCGCCGAUGGUAGUGUGGGGUCUCCCCAUGCGAGAGUAGGACACUGCCAGGCA